RNAcentral lists this unclassified non-coding RNA (397 nucleotides) under Melitaea cinxia (Glanville fritillary). RNAcentral describes it as "misc RNA ENSMCXG00005018015.1". The record is from RNAcentral. Lineage: Eukaryota; Metazoa; Arthropoda; Insecta; Lepidoptera; Nymphalidae.
AGUUCGCAUUCGCGAGCGUAGAUACGCGAGUGAUAGUGGCAAGACGGAAGGACUCGCGUGGCUGGCGUGCCGAGUGACAUUGACAGUGCCCGUAUUACUCGCCCACAUGCCGGAGCCUGUCACGUACGCUGUACGAGCUGUGAUUAUUCGUGAAAUAAGCGGGUUGGUCGGAAAGUUAAAAAACAAAUACACAACAACAAUUUUCUCAAAUACAAGAAAAAAAACUAUGAUCAUUAUUAAUUCAACUAAUGAACUACAAGAUAAUUUUGGAAUAUGAAGAGGGCAUUAAGUUUAACUAUCAUCGUGUUGUGCAUAUUAAAGAAGAAUUAACAUUCAAAAAUGGUUUGAAGUUUAAUUUUGUUAUAAAAAUGAAUCAGUAGAUGUAUGCCUUUAUGCC